AACGAACGCUGGCGGCAUGCCUAACACAUGCAAGUCGAACGAGACCUUCGGGUCUAGUGGCGCACGGGUGCGUAACGCGUGGGAACCUGCCCUUAGGUUCGGAAUAACUCCCCGAAAGGGGUGCUAAUACCGGAUAAUGUCUUCGGACCAAAGAUUUAUCGCCUUUGGAUGGGCCCGCGUUGGAUUAGCUAGUUGGUAGGGUAAAAGCCUACCAAGGCGACGAUCCAUAGCUGAUCUGAGAGGAUGAUCAGCCACACUGGGACUGAGACACGGCCCAGACUCCUACGGGAGGCAGCAGUGGGGGAUAUUGGACAAUGGGCGAAAGCCUGAUCCAGCAAUGCCGCGUGAGUGAUGAAGGCCUUAGGGUUGUAAAGCUCUUUUACCCGGGAUGAUAAUGACAGUACCGGGAGAAUAAGCUCCGGCUAACUCCGUG
RNAcentral lists this ribosomal RNA (433 nucleotides) under uncultured bacterium. RNAcentral describes it as "partial 16S ribosomal RNA". It matches the Rfam family "Bacterial small subunit ribosomal RNA", at positions 29 to 507 of the family's 1533-position model. The record is from RNAcentral.